This 72-nucleotide transfer RNA is filed under the name Escherichia coli. RNAcentral describes it as "tRNA-Glu". It matches the Rfam family "tRNA". From Rfam's summary of the family: Transfer RNA (tRNA) molecules are approximately 80 nucleotides in length. The record is from RNAcentral. Lineage: Bacteria; Pseudomonadati; Pseudomonadota; Gammaproteobacteria; Enterobacterales; Enterobacteriaceae.
CGUCCCCUUCGUCUGAGGCCGGGACACCGCCCUUUCACGGCGGUAACAGGGGUUCGAAUCCUAGGGGACGCC